This 22-nucleotide small RNA is filed under the name Salmonella enterica subsp. enterica serovar Typhi. Its description in RNAcentral is "StyR-302". Lineage: Bacteria; Pseudomonadati; Pseudomonadota; Gammaproteobacteria; Enterobacterales; Enterobacteriaceae. The record is from RNAcentral.
AUUGAGCCUCUCAGCGAUCUCU